Molecule: ribosomal RNA, 433 nt
Filed under: uncultured bacterium
Lineage: Bacteria
Description: bacterial SSU rRNA
Rfam family: Bacterial small subunit ribosomal RNA
Source: RNAcentral
UACGGGAGGCAGCAGUGGGGAAUAUUGCACAAUGGGCGAAAGCCUGAUGCAGCUAUGCCGCGUGUAUGAAGAAGGCCUUAGGGUUGUAAAGUACUUUCAUCGGGGAGGAAAAAACAAAACUAAUAAUUUUAUUUCUUGACGUUACCCGAAAAAGAAGCACCGGCUAACUCCGUGCCAGCAGCCGCGGUAAUACGGAGGGUGCUAGCGUUAAUCAGAAUUACUGGGCGUAAAGAGCACGUAGGUGGUUUUUUUAAAGUCAGAUGUGAAAUCCCUGGGCUUAACCUAGGAACUGCAUUUUGAAACUGAAAUACUAGAGUAUCGUAGAGGGAGGUAGAAUUCUAGGUGUAGCGGUGAAAUGCGUAGAUAUCUGGAGGAAUACCUGUGGCGAAAGCGGCCUCCUAAACGAAUACUGACACUGAGGGUGCGAAAGCGU